Molecule: unclassified non-coding RNA, 520 nt
Filed under: uncultured Glomus
Lineage: Eukaryota; Fungi; Glomeromycota; Glomeromycetes; Glomerales; Glomeraceae
Description: SSU rRNA
Rfam family: Eukaryotic small subunit ribosomal RNA
Source: RNAcentral
AGCAGCCGCGGUAAUUCCAGCUCCAAUAGCGUAUAUUAAAGUUGCUGCAGUUAAAAAGCUCGUAGUUGAAUUUCGGGAUCAGUUGGUCGGUCGUGCCUCGGUACGUACUGGUCAAAUUGAUUCCUACCUUCUGACGAACCACGAUGUCAUUAAUUUGGUGUCGCGGGAAAUCAGGACUGUUACUUUGAAAAAAUUAGAGUGUUUAAAGCAGGCUCGCGCUUGAAUACAUUAGCAUGGAAUAAUGAAAUAGGACGUUUGAUUCUAUUUUGUUGGUUUCUAGGAUCGACGUAAUGAUUAAUAGGGAUAGUUGGGGGCAUUAGUAUUCAAUUGUCAGAGGUGAAAUUCUUGGAUUAUUGGAAGACUAACUACUGCGAAAGCAUUUGCCAAGGAUGUUUUCAUUAAUCAAGAACGAAAGUUAGGGGAUCGAAGACGAUCAGAUACCGUCGUAGUCUUAACCAUAAACUAUGCCGACUAGGGAUCGGAUGAUGUUAAUUUUUUAAUGACUCAUUCGGCGCCUUAC